This 480-nucleotide long non-coding RNA is filed under the name Apteryx rowi (Okarito brown kiwi). Its description in RNAcentral is "lncRNA (ENSARWG00000008708.1)". The record is from RNAcentral. Lineage: Eukaryota; Metazoa; Chordata; Aves; Apterygiformes; Apterygidae.
ACAUGGGGGACCCUGGAGGGGACAUUGGGGGGCGCAGGGGACCCUUGGGGACGCCUGUGGGGCGGCGGCAGGGACGACGACAUGCAGAGCGUGGCCAGUCUCAUGAGCCUCAAGCCCUGCGACGUGGCCGACCUGGGCGACUUCGCCGAGAGCGACGAGGAGGACGGGGCUGCCGGCAGCGGGUGGCCGCAGCGGGGGGACGGCGCUGCCCCUGUGCCCCACGAGCCCCCCCGAGAGCUGGACGCGCUGGCGGAGGAGGAGGAAGAGCUGGCGGCGAGGCGAGCCGCCUCCCCGGAGCGGGGCUCUGCCGCGGCGGGGGGCGACCGCACGGCCCCAGGGUCCCCCCCGGCGCUGGGGGCACAGGGGGGCCCCCCCGGCCCUGGCAGCGAGCCCGACACCCCCUCAGCGGUGAGUGCAGUCAGUGGGGCUGGGAGGGGUCUGGGGCUGCCCUGGGGGGCUCAGGGACCCCCACGCAUUUGC